UGAACGCUGGCGGCGUGCUUAACACAUGCAAGUCGAACGGUGCUUAAUGAAACCUAGUGAUUAAGCACAGUGGCGGACGGGUGAGUAACGCGUGGGUAACCUGCCGCAUGCAGGGGGACAACAGAGGGAAACUUCUGCUAAUACCGCAUAAGCGCACGGGAUCGCAUGAUCCAGUGUGAAAAGAUUUGUCGGCAUGCGGAUGGACCCGCGUCUGAUUUAGGCAGUCGGUGAGGUAACGGCCCACCAAACCUUACGAUCAGUAGCCGGCCUGAGAGGGUGAACGGCCACAUUGGGACUGAGACACGGCCCAAACUCCUACGGGAGGCAGCAGUGGGGAAUAUUGCACAAUGGGGGGAAACCCUGAUGCAGCGAACGCCGCGUGAGUGAAGAAGCAUUUCGGUGCGUUAAAGCUCUGUCAGCAGGAAAGAAAAUGACGGUACCUGACCAAGAAGCCCCGGCUAACUACGUGCCAGCAGCUGC
This 480-nucleotide ribosomal RNA is filed under the name uncultured bacterium. RNAcentral describes it as "bacterial SSU rRNA". It matches the Rfam family "Bacterial small subunit ribosomal RNA", at positions 30 to 518 of the family's 1533-position model. The record is from RNAcentral.